UACGGAGGGUGCAAGCGUUAAUCGGAAUAACUGGGCGUAAAGGGCACGCAGGCGGUUUGUUAAGUUGGAUGUGAAAUCCCCGGGCUUAACCUGGGAACUGCAUUCAAGACUGGCAGGCUAGAGUCUCGUAGAGGGGGGUAGAAUUCCACGUGUAGCGGUGAAAUGCGUAGAGAUGUGGAGGAAUACCGGUGGCGAAGGCGGCCCCCUGGACGAGGACUGACGCUCAGGUGCGAAAGCGUGGGGAGCAAACAGG
Molecule: unclassified non-coding RNA, 253 nt
Filed under: uncultured Enterobacteriaceae bacterium
Lineage: Bacteria; Pseudomonadati; Pseudomonadota; Gammaproteobacteria; Enterobacterales; Enterobacteriaceae
Description: contains 16S-23S intergenic spacer region
Rfam family: Bacterial small subunit ribosomal RNA
Source: RNAcentral